RNAcentral lists this ribosomal RNA (253 nucleotides) under uncultured bacterium. Its description in RNAcentral is "partial 16S ribosomal RNA". It matches the Rfam family "Bacterial small subunit ribosomal RNA", at positions 524 to 776 of the family's 1533-position model. The record is from RNAcentral.
GACAGAGGGUGCAAACGUUUGUUCGGAAUUACUGGGCGUAAAGCGUGUGUAGGCGGCUACGCAAGUCGGAUGUGAAAGCCCUGGGCUCAACUCAGGAAGUGCACCCGAUACUGCGAAGCUAGAGUACCGGAGAGGUUGGUAGAAUUCUCGGUGUAGAGGUGAAAUUCGUAGAUAUCGAGAGGAAUACCUGUGGCGAAGGCGGCCAACUGGACGAGUACUGACGCUGAGACACGAAGACGUGGGAGCAAACAGG